UUUCAAAUCCACACAACCAUGAGCAUUUUCUUUGCUUUUCUUUUUCUAAAUUUUUUUUAUGCUCUAUGGUUUCAAGGGUGAUUUCUUUGUCUUGUUUCUUUUCAAAUUUUCACCCUUUCAUAAGAAACUCACUUUUCCAAGUUUCUAAUCACUUCUCAUUUUACUCUCCCCAACUUUAGAUUCCAAAACCAAAUUUAUUCAAUAAUGCUCCCUACUUAGACAUAAGCAAAA
Molecule: long non-coding RNA, 231 nt
Filed under: Lathyrus oleraceus (garden pea)
Lineage: Eukaryota; Viridiplantae; Streptophyta; Magnoliopsida; Fabales; Fabaceae
Description: Pisum sativum (pea) long non-coding RNA (PSAT_LNC008437)
Source: RNAcentral